RNAcentral lists this small nuclear RNA (160 nucleotides) under Zostera marina. Its description in RNAcentral is "U1 spliceosomal RNA". It matches the Rfam family "U1 spliceosomal RNA". Rfam says of the family: U1 is a small nuclear RNA (snRNA) component of the spliceosome (involved in pre-mRNA splicing). Its 5' end forms complementary base pairs with the 5' splice junction, thus defining the 5' donor site of an intron. Lineage: Eukaryota; Viridiplantae; Streptophyta; Magnoliopsida; Alismatales; Zosteraceae. The record is from Rfam by way of RNAcentral.
AUACUUACCUGGACGGGGUCUAUGGCUGAUCAAAAAGGGUCGUGGCCUAAGUUGAUGAUCUCCAUUGCACAUAGGAGGGGUAUCAACUUAAUGUCUCUCCAAGUGGGAGUCGUACGUCAUAAUUUGUUUCUUUGAGGGUACGCGUUCGCGCGGCCCCUAC